AGGGCAGUAGCUCAGUGGUAGAGCUCCCGCCUCGUAUGCAGGAGGACCAGGCUUUGAUUCCCGGUUGCUUAC
This 72-nucleotide transfer RNA is filed under the name Toxocara canis (dog roundworm). It matches the Rfam family "tRNA". From Rfam's summary of the family: Transfer RNA (tRNA) molecules are approximately 80 nucleotides in length. Lineage: Eukaryota; Metazoa; Nematoda; Chromadorea; Rhabditida; Toxocaridae. The record is from Rfam by way of RNAcentral.